UACAGAUGCAUCCCGCGGCGCAUUAGCUAGUUGGUGAGGGUAAUGGCUCACCAAGGCAACGAUGCGUAGCCGACCUGAGAGGGUGAUCGGCCACACUGGGACUGAGACACGGCCCAGACUCCUACGGGAGGCAGCAGUAGUGGAAUCUUCCGCAAUGGACGAAAGUCUGACGGAGCAACGCCGCGUGAGUGAUGAAGGUUUUCGGAUCGUAAAGCUCUGUUGUUAGGGAAGAACAAGUACCGUUCGAAUAGGGCGGUACCUUGACGGUACCUAACCAGAAAGCCACGGCUAACUACGUGCCAGCAGCCGCGGUAAUACGUAGGUGGCAAGCGUUGUCCGGAAUUAUUGGGCGUAAAGGGCUCGCAGGCGGUUUCUUAAGUCUGAUGUGAAAGCCCCCGGCUCAACCGGGGAGGGUCAUUGGAAACUGGGGAACUUGAGUGCAGAAGAGGAGAGUGGAAUUCCACGUGUAGCGGUGAAAUGCGUAGAGAUGUGGAGGAACACCAGUGGCGAAGGCGACUCUCUGGUCUGUAACUGACGCUGAGGAGCGAAAGCGUGGGGAGCGAACAGGAUUAGAUACCCUGGUAGUCCACGAAGUAAACGAUGAGUGAGUACAGUGCUUACGGGGGUUUCCGCCCCUUAGUGCUGCAGCUAACGCAUUAAGCACUCCGCCUGGAGACGCCCCCC
RNAcentral lists this ribosomal RNA (684 nucleotides) under Bacillus sp. (in: firmicutes). Its description in RNAcentral is "bacterial SSU rRNA". It matches the Rfam family "Bacterial small subunit ribosomal RNA", at positions 219 to 887 of the family's 1533-position model. The record is from RNAcentral. Lineage: Bacteria; Bacillati; Bacillota; Bacilli; Caryophanales; Bacillaceae.